ACGGCCACAUCACUUUGAAACACCUGUUCUCGUACGAUCACCGAAGUUAAGCGACGUCGAACCUGGUCAGUACCUAGAUGGGUGACCACUUAAGAAUACCAGGUACUGUAAG
Acanthosepion pharaonis is the source of this 112-nucleotide non-coding RNA. NCBI's taxonomy places the organism in Eukaryota, Metazoa, Mollusca, Cephalopoda, Sepiida, Sepiidae. The record is from the annotation of a GenBank genome assembly.